AGCAGCCGCGGUAAUUCCAGCUCCAAUAGCGUAUAUUAAAGUUGUUGCAGUUAAAAAGCUCGUAGUUGAAUUUCGGGAUCAAUGCGUCGGUCGUGCCUCGGUACGUACUAACGAUAUUGAUUUCUCCCUUCUGACGAACCGUGAUGUCAUUAAUUUGGUGUUACGGGGAGUUAGGACUGUUACUUUGAAAAAAUUAGAGUGUUUAAAGCAAGCAAUCGCUCGAAUACAUUAGCAUGGAAUAAUGAAAUAGGACGUUCGAACCUAUUUUGUUGGUUUCUAGGAUCAACGUAAUGAUUAAUAGGGAUAGUUGGGGGCAUUAGUAUUCAAUUGUCAGAGGUGAAAUUCUUGGAUUUAUUGAAGACUAACUACUGCGAAAGCAUUUGCCAAGGAUGUUUUCAUUAAUCAAGAACGAAAGUUAGGGGAUCGAAGACGAUCAGAUACCGUCGUAGUCUUAACCAUAAACUAUGCCGACUAGGGAUCGGAUGAUGUUAAUUUUUUAAUGACUCAUUCGGCGCCUUACG
This 521-nucleotide ribosomal RNA is filed under the name uncultured Glomeraceae. RNAcentral's name for it is "SSU rRNA". It matches the Rfam family "Eukaryotic small subunit ribosomal RNA", at positions 569 to 1092 of the family's 1831-position model. The record is from RNAcentral. Lineage: Eukaryota; Fungi; Glomeromycota; Glomeromycetes; Glomerales; Glomeraceae.